Molecule: ribosomal RNA, 538 nt
Filed under: uncultured bacterium
Lineage: Bacteria
Description: bacterial SSU rRNA
Rfam family: Bacterial small subunit ribosomal RNA
Source: RNAcentral
AUAGAUACCCUGGUAGUCCACGCCGUAAACGAUGGAUACUAGCUGUUGGAGGUAUCGACCCCUUCAGUAGCGAAGCUAACGCGUUAAGUAUCCCGCCUGUGGAGUACGGUCGCAAGACUAAAACAUAAAGGAAUUGACGGGGACCCGCACAAGCGGUGGAUCGUGUUCUUUAAUUCGAUGCUAAACGAAGAACCUUACCAGGGCUUGACAUCCCUUGAAUUAAUCCGAAAGGAUUGAGUGCUUUAUUGAACAAGGUGACAGGUGUUGCAUGGCCGUCGUCAGCUCGUGUCGUGAGAUGUUUGGUUAAGUCCAUCAACGAGCGCAACCCCUGCAAGUAGUUGUAUUUUUCUACUUGGACUGCCCCGGCAACGGGGAGGAAGGAGGGGAUGAUGUCAGGUCAGUAUUACCCUUACGUCCUGGGCUAGAAACACGAUACAAUGGCAAGUACAAUGCGCAGCGAAGCCGCGAGGUGAAGCAAAUCGCAUCAAAGCUUGUCCCAGUUCGGAUUGGAGGCUGAAACUCGCCUCUAUGAAGUCGG